Molecule: long non-coding RNA, 1852 nt
Filed under: Lactuca sativa (garden lettuce)
Lineage: Eukaryota; Viridiplantae; Streptophyta; Magnoliopsida; Asterales; Asteraceae
Description: long non-coding RNA (LSAT_LNC008684)
Source: RNAcentral
UUGCUUCUAAUUUUCAUUACCCGCUCGUUAUUCCCCCCAACAUUAAAAGCUUUACACCGACCCUUUGCUCUCCUAGGUCAAAACUCAAAACAUAUUUGAAAUAUCGGAUCCCCUAAAUCAAAAUCCCUUCCAAUUUGCAAACCCUUGUCGCUCGUAUGCGUUGCAGGUUAAAUCUCAGAUUGAAGUUCAUUGCAGAUUUAAUCCAUCUCGGUAUCUCUCCGUCGAUUGAAGAUCUCUAUAUCUCAUCAUCUAUUUCAUCUUGUUCUCUGACCCCCGAAAAGUAUGAUUACCGAAUCUAAUUUGACUACCUGGUUUCUUUGUUUGUUGCUUUUCUUUUUGUGGUUCCCGAUCCUAUUGUAUUCCCACAAUUAUAAGUAAUUGGCUAACAUAUUUUGAUUCUUCUUUUUGAGGUUCUGGCGUCUUCUACUUUUCUCCCCCAAAUUGAACUAUAUCUCAACAGGUGGAUUCAUUGUUGCAAAAGGUAUGCUUCCUAGUUAUUGGCUUUUGUACCUGAUUUACAUAUUUUAGAUGUGAAAAUUUGUUAGUCGGUUGAUAAAUUGUUGUGGUUCAGAAGUUUUUGGCAUUUCUUUUUCAAUAUUAUUGGAACAUCUUUCAUGUUUAGAGACGCACAUCAAGUGCUCGGCGAAAUUCCUGAAACAAACACCACUUCUUUUUCAUUAAGUUAGCCUUUGUUUAGUGUCUCUGUAGCUUAUUUUUCAUUAAUAGUAACUCAAAAUCAGUAGCUCUAGCUUUUUGCAAUUCCCAUAAGGUUGAGGCUGGUUCACAAAGUGUAAUGAGAACACUUGUUUAAACAUAUUUUUCCACUACAAACAUAAACAAACCUCCAAAUUUGACACAUUAAAUAAAUAGGUGCAAGCUAAUAGAUAAGGUAAUUGCAAUCUUUACCAAAAAAUACAAGUACAAUCUAUAUAUUUACAUAAUGAUUCAAGUGUUGCCAUUUAGAAAAAUCUUAUUGGUGUUAAUCGGUUUAACCGAAAACAAUUGAACGAACCAGUUAAGUUUAUACGGUUUUAGGUUGACCGAAUAAGACACCCGAAAACCAAAUAACCCGAACCAAUUAAUCAUUUUUUAUUCGGUUUCGGUUUGUUUCCGCACCCCUAAAUAAGUUGCUAUAAUCAGCUCUUUUUUAUUUAUAUAUCUUAUUUCUAAGAUGGCUAACAUUUUUUUUCCAUUAUGUGAAACAGAGGAUGGACCAAAAAAUUUGAAGACAUUUCAACAUUCUAAACCUUUAAUAUGUUUUGUUAAAAUCAUAGGUAACACUUAUGUGCAUUUUGUUUAAUUUCUUAACUUUAUGUCUUUUUUAUACGAGUUGGUAUUUUCCAUUUUCAUGUUCAGGUUGAUUGGAUGAUAUUUUAAUACACAAAUUAGUCUAUGCCUUGACUAUAUGUUUCAAUAUAUAUAUAUAUAUAAUUCAACCAUGCUUCAGGGAGUUGUCAAAAUUUGUUUCAAAGUAGGCUAAGGAAGGGAAGGUAGGCAUUUUUUUAAAAUUUUUCAUGUCUUGUUUCUAUAUCAUGUAAAUAUAUAAACAUGUUUUUAUAUAAUGUAUUAUGGUUAUAUGAUAGGUAAUUGUUCAGAAGUUGGAUAAAUAAGAAGAGCAAUUAUACAAAGUUCGAGGUCAAUGAAGCUUCGUGUUUCUUCUCCAACAAUUACAAUUAUCUAGUUCAAUAUUAUUAUGGUUUAAGUACUUGCACCACAUUUUUAAUUAUUAAACUUUUGAGAGGAUGUUUUUAUUUUAAAUAUAUUGAAAAUAUUGUUGUUAGACAAGUUCAAAUUGACUUAAUGAUAUUGUGUUUCCAUUUAAUAUCUUAAUUGUCUUAUUAUUAUUUUAUAA